RNAcentral lists this transfer RNA (81 nucleotides) under Venturia canescens. RNAcentral describes it as "tRNA-Ala". It matches the Rfam family "tRNA". Rfam says of the family: Transfer RNA (tRNA) molecules are approximately 80 nucleotides in length. Their secondary structure includes four short double-helical elements and three loops (D, anti-codon, and T loops). Further hydrogen bonds mediate the characteristic L-shaped molecular structure. tRNAs have two regions of fundamental functional importance: the anti-codon, which is responsible for specific mRNA codon recognition, and the 3' end, to which the tRNAs corresponding amino acid is attached (by aminoacyl-tRNA synthetases). tRNAs cope with the degeneracy of the genetic code in two manners: having more than one tRNA (with a specific anti-codon) for a particular amino acid; and 'wobble' base-pairing, i.e. permitting non-standard base-pairing at the 3rd anti-codon position. Lineage: Eukaryota; Metazoa; Arthropoda; Insecta; Hymenoptera; Ichneumonidae. The record is from RNAcentral.
GCCUGGAUAGCUCAGUUGGGAGAGCACUCGACCGGCAAUCGAGAGGUCCCGGGUUCGAACCCCGGUUCAGUCCCUGCCGCA